Molecule: RNA transcript, 1278 nt
Organism: Glycine soja
Lineage: Eukaryota; Viridiplantae; Streptophyta; Magnoliopsida; Fabales; Fabaceae
Gene name: NAC domain-containing protein 2-like
Exons: 3
Source: RefSeq, a predicted model, not a curated record
UGCCAGGUGACGCAUGUACUAGGAUAGGAAAAAUUCAUCCAAUCAUAGCCAUGCAACUCCACUCAAAGGACAAACCACCGUCAAAGAUAAAAGGAGCACCAAUCUCAAUUGCAAACAUUUCAAACACCUUCAAUAUUAUUUCUCUUGAAGCCUCUCCAAUUUGCCUUCACUUCUUAAUAAUAAUAAUAAUAUUAAUUCCUCUUUUCUUGUACCAAACCAAAUUGAUAUUUUGAACUCAAUGGAAGGUAGCACAACAAGCUCUGAACUCCCUCCUGGCUUUAGGUUUCACCCAACGGACGAGGAACUGAUUGUGUAUUACCUUUGUAACCAAGCCACCUCAAAGCCAUGCCCUGCAUCUAUCAUCCCAGAAGUGGAUCUCUAUAAGUUUGAUCCUUGGGAAUUGCCAGAUAAAACAGAAUUUGGAGAAAAUGAAUGGUAUUUCUUUAGUCCAAGAGACAGGAAGUACCCAAAUGGGGUGAGGCCUAACCGAGCAACUGUGUCUGGGUAUUGGAAGGCUACUGGCACAGACAAGGCAAUCUAUAGUGGAUCUAAGAAUGUUGGGGUGAAGAAAUCUUUAGUCUUUUACAAGGGUAGGCCACCAAAGGGUGCCAAGACUGAUUGGAUCAUGCAUGAGUAUCGAUUGGCUGAAUCAAAAAUACCAGCUAGCAGGAAAAUUGGGUCCAUGAGGCUGGAUGACUGGGUCUUGUGCAGGAUCUAUAAGAAGAAGAGCAUGGUAAAAGCAUUGGAGCACAAAGAGGCACACCCAGAAGUCCAAAUUGCUAAUCUUGCGCCUGCAAAUCAUGAUGUUGAACAGAAAAUGAUGAACCUUCCUAGGACUUGGUCCCUUACUUACCUUUUGGAUAUGAAUUACUUGGGUCCAAUUUUAUCUGAUGGCUCUUAUUGCUCAACCUUGGAUUUUCAAAUUAACAAUGGGGAUUAGACCCUUUUGUGAAAUCUCAACCGGUUGAAAUGAACAAUUAUGUAGCAGAUUCAGGGAAGUACCAAGUGAAACAGAGUAGCACCAUUGACCAGCCCAUAUAUGUGAAACAAAUGUAUGAUUUGCUAGGAUAAAACCAAUAGGAAAAAAAAAAAAGAGCUUGGAUUGUUGUCUAGUCAUGACGAUAGGUAUCAUCUAUAAAAUAUAAAAGAUCAUGAAGAUUCUAUGUAGUAUUAUGUCAAAUAUAUGUUAUAUUAAAAAUUGGAUUUUCAAUGUCUCAUUGACAGUAUUUGUACAUAAGGACGAGUAAUUAACUGCCUCUAAAGUAAUGUUCAUUCUUC